This 442-nucleotide ribosomal RNA is filed under the name uncultured bacterium. Its description in RNAcentral is "partial 16S ribosomal RNA". It matches the Rfam family "Bacterial small subunit ribosomal RNA", at positions 338 to 795 of the family's 1533-position model. The record is from RNAcentral.
CCUACGGGCGGCAGCAGUAGGGAAUCUUUCACAAUGGGCGAAAGCCUGAAGGAGCAACGCCGCGUGCAGGAUGAAGGCCUUCGGGUUGUAAACUGCUUUUAUAAGCGAGAAAUAUGAUGGUAACUUAUGAAUAAGGAUCGGCUAACUACGUGCCAGCAGCCGCGGUCAUACGUAGGAUCCGAGCAUUAUCCGGAGUGACUGGGUGUAAAGAGUUGCGUAGGUGGCAUAAUAAGUAGCUAGUGAAAUCUGGUGGCUCAACCAUUCAGACUAUUAGCUAAACUGUUAAGCUCGAGACCGUUAGGGGUAACUGGAAUUUGUGGUGUAGGAGUGAAAUCCGUAGAUAUUAGAAGGAACACCGAUAGCGUAGGCAGGUUGCUGGGACGGUUCUGACACUAAGGCACGAAAGCGUAGGGAGCAAACGGGAUUAGAUACCCCGGUAGUC